UAGGGAAUAUUGCACAAUGGGCGAAAGCCUGAUGCAGCAACGCCGCGUGAGUGAUGAAGGCCUUCGGGUCGUAAAACUCUUUUUGAGGAGAUGAGGAAGGACAGUAUCCUCAGAAUAAGGAUCGGCUAACUACGUGCCAGCAGCCGCGGUAAAACGUAGGAUCCGAGCGUUAUCCGAAUUUACUGGGCGUAAAGCGCGUGCAGGCGGUUUGGCAAGUUGGAUGUGAAAGCUCCUGGCUCAACUGGGAGAGGCCGUUCAAAACUACCAGACUAGAGGGCGACAGAGGGAGGUGGAAUUCCCGGUGUAGUGGUGAAAUGCGUAGAUAUCGGGAGGAACACCUGUGGCGAAAGCGGCCUCCUGGGUCGCACCUGACGCUCAGACGCGAAAGCUAGGGGAGCGAACGGGAUUAGAAACCCCGGUAGUCCUAGCAGUAAACGAUGUAGACUUGGCGUCGGUGGGGUAAAAGCCAUCGGUGCCGCAGCUAACGCGAUAAGUCUACCGCCG
This 504-nucleotide ribosomal RNA is filed under the name uncultured Chloroflexota bacterium. Its description in RNAcentral is "bacterial SSU rRNA". It matches the Rfam family "Bacterial small subunit ribosomal RNA", at positions 355 to 873 of the family's 1533-position model. The record is from RNAcentral. Lineage: Bacteria; Bacillati; Chloroflexota.